AACGAACGCUGGCGGCAGGCCUAACACAUGCAAGUCGAACGCCCCGCCAGGGGAGUGGCCGACGGGUGAGUAACACGUGGGAACCUUCCCUAUAGUACGGAAUAGCCCAGGGAAACUUGGAGUAAUACCGUAUACGCCCGCAAGGGGAAAGAAUUUCGCUAUAGGAUGGGCCCGCGUAGGAUUAGCUAGUUGGUGAGGUAAUGGCUCGCCAAGGCGACGAUCCUUAGCUGGUUUGAGAGAACGACCAGCCACACUGGGACUGAGACACGGCCCAGACUCCUCCGGGAGGCAGCAGUGGGGAAUAUUGGACAAUGGGCGCAAGCCUGAUCCAGCCAUGCCGCGUGAGUGAUGAAGGCCUUAGGGUUGUAAAGCUCUUUUGGCGGGGACGAUAAUGACGGUACCCGCAGAAUAAGUCCCGGCUAACUUCGUG
RNAcentral lists this ribosomal RNA (430 nucleotides) under uncultured bacterium. RNAcentral's name for it is "partial 16S ribosomal RNA". It matches the Rfam family "Bacterial small subunit ribosomal RNA", at positions 29 to 507 of the family's 1533-position model. The record is from RNAcentral.